Molecule: ribosomal RNA, 468 nt
Filed under: uncultured bacterium
Lineage: Bacteria
Description: partial 16S ribosomal RNA
Rfam family: Bacterial small subunit ribosomal RNA
Source: RNAcentral
GACGAACGCUGGCGGCGUGCUUAACACAUGCAAGUCGAACGGAAAGGCCCUGCUUUUGUGGGGUGCUCGAGUGGCGAAAGGGUGAGUAACACGUGAGUAACCUGCCCUUGACUUUGGGAUAACUUCAGGAAACUGGGGCUAAUACCGGAUAGGAGCUCCUGCUGCAUGGUGGGGGUUGGAAAGUUUCGGCGGUUGGGGAUGGACUCGCGGCUUAUCAGCUUGUUGGUGGGGUAGUGGCUUACCAAGGCUUUGACGGGUAGCCGGCCUGAGAGGGUGACCGGCCACAUUGGGACUGAGAUACGGCCCAGACUCCUACGGGAGGCAGCAGUGGGGAAUAUUGCACAAUGGGCGGAAGCCUGAUGCAGCAACGCCGCGUGCGGGAUGACGGCCUUCGGGUUGUAAACCGCUUUCGCCUGUGACGAAGCGUGAGUGACGGUAAUGUGUAAAGAAGCACCGGCUAACUACGUG